UACGUAGGGGCGAGCGUUGUCCGGAAUGACUGGGCGUAAAGGGCGCGUAGACGGCUGAUUAAGUCUGGAGUGAAAGUCCUGCUUUCAAGGUGGGAAGUGCUUUGGAGACUGGUUGGCUUGAGUGCGGAAGAGGUAAGUGGAAUUCCCAGUGUAGCGGUGAAAUGCGUAGAGAUUGGGAGGAACACCAGUGGCGAAGGCGACUUACUGGGCCGUAACUGACGUUGAUGCGCGAAAGCGUGGGGAGCGAACAGGAUUAGAUACCCCUGUAGUCCCU
This 274-nucleotide ribosomal RNA is filed under the name uncultured prokaryote. RNAcentral describes it as "partial 16S ribosomal RNA". It matches the Rfam family "Bacterial small subunit ribosomal RNA", at positions 524 to 798 of the family's 1533-position model. The record is from RNAcentral.